CCUUUUGUAUCUCACUCUCAAGUGUACAUCACACACAGAAUGUGAAUGUGGUCACAUGCACAUGUACAUACAUGCAUUUCCUACUGUUUCCAGUACUGUCUGGCUUGUUCCUCCCAUUCAGGCCAUGUAUAUCUGAGCCUGAGAUGACACCUGGCAGGACUCCAGGAAACCUGAGGGUGUUUGGUCUUGUUCACACUGAACUGCUUGUUUCUCUGCUCACUCAGGGCUUCUCUAGAAAGGCUAUUUGUAUGAGUAUUAAUGUCCACCAAAUUCUCUCUUAUGCCAACCUGGUCUACAUAAAUGAGUUCCAGGGCAGCCAGAGCCACAAGUCUAGACCCCAUUUUGAUUAAAGAAAAAAAAAAAAAAGAAAAAAGAAAGAAAGAAAGAA
RNAcentral lists this long non-coding RNA (388 nucleotides) under Rattus norvegicus (Norway rat). Its description in RNAcentral is "long non-coding RNA NONRATT025880". Lineage: Eukaryota; Metazoa; Chordata; Mammalia; Rodentia; Muridae. The record is from RNAcentral.